Molecule: ribosomal RNA, 462 nt
Filed under: uncultured bacterium
Lineage: Bacteria
Description: partial 16S ribosomal RNA
Rfam family: Bacterial small subunit ribosomal RNA
Source: RNAcentral
GAUCAACGCUGGCGGCGUGCUUAACACAUGCAAGUCGAACGAAGUUUUUCCUUCGGGAGCAACUUAGUGGCGGACGGGUGAGUAACGCGUGGGUAACCUGCCCUGUACAGGGGGACAACAGCUGUAAACGGCUGCUAAUACCGCAUAAGCCCUUAGCACUGCAUGGUGCAUAGGGAAAAGGAGCAAUCCGGUACAGGAUGGACCCGCGUCUGAUUAGCCAGUUGGCAGGGUAACGGCCUACCAAAGCGACGAUCAGUAGCCGAUCUGAGAGGAUGUACGGCCACAUUGGGACUGAGACACGGCCCAGACUCCUACGGGAAGCAGCAGUGGGGAAUAUUGCACAAUGGAGGAAACUCUGAUGCAGCGACGCCGCGUGAGUGAAGAAGUAUUUCGGUAUGUAAAGCUCUAUCAGCAGGGAAGAAAAUGACGGUACCUGACUAAGAAGCACCGGCUAAAUACGUG